AUAGCAUAGCUCCAAAAUCAAAUAUUUGGGUUGAACACGUUUAAAAAUUGGCCGUACAAUUCGGAUCACACUGGAAAACCAUUGCCUGGUCCAGCAACUCAAAAAUCUCGGUGUUACCUAGACAAAAAAUUGACCUUUAAUAGACCAAGUGAAAGGUUUCUUGCAAAAUUCCUUUUCGCCCCGUGUGAAAAAGGUUCUUCUCUAUAGAGAUCACAUUUUCUUACUAUAAACAUGUUAAUUUACAUAGGCAUAUUUUAAAAUUAAAAUAAAAAAAAAAAAAUUGACAUACCUCGCACAAUGGGUAGGCAAUAAGCUGG
This is a non-coding RNA of Cinara cedri, 317 nucleotides long. NCBI's taxonomy places the organism in Eukaryota, Metazoa, Arthropoda, Insecta, Hemiptera, Aphididae. The record is from the annotation of a GenBank genome assembly.